RNAcentral lists this ribosomal RNA (435 nucleotides) under uncultured bacterium. Its description in RNAcentral is "bacterial SSU rRNA". It matches the Rfam family "Bacterial small subunit ribosomal RNA", at positions 958 to 1392 of the family's 1533-position model. The record is from RNAcentral.
AACGCGAAGAACCUUACCAGGUCUUGACAUCCCCAUGACCUCUCUAGAGAUAGAGAUUUCCCUUCGGGGACAUGGGUGACAGGUGGUGCAUGGUUGUCGUCAGCUCGUGUCGUGAGAUGUUGUGUUAAGUCCCGCAACGAGCGCAACCCUUGAUCUUAGUUGCCAGCAUUUAGUUGGGCACUCUAAGGUGACUGCCGGUGACAAACCGGAGGAAGGUGGGGAUGACGUCAAAUCAUCAUGCCCCUUAUGACCUGGGCUACACACGUGCUACAAUGGAUGGUACAAAGAGCAGCAAAACCGCGAGGUCGAGCCAAUCUCAUAAAGCCAUUCUCAGUUCGGAUUGUAGGCUGCAACUCGCCUACAUGAAGCCGGAAUUGCUAGUAAUCGCGGAUCAGCAUGCCGCGGUGAAUACGUUCCCGGGCCUUGUACACACCG